Molecule: ribosomal RNA, 477 nt
Filed under: Flavobacterium sp. GCM6
Lineage: Bacteria; Pseudomonadati; Bacteroidota; Flavobacteriia; Flavobacteriales; Flavobacteriaceae
Description: bacterial SSU rRNA
Rfam family: Bacterial small subunit ribosomal RNA
Source: RNAcentral
AGUCAGUGGUGAAAGCCCAUCGCUCAACGGUGGAACGGCCAUUGAUACUGUUAAACUUGAAUUAUUAGGAAGUAACUAGAAUAUGUAGUGUAGCGGUGAAAUGCUUAGAGAUUACAUGGAAUACCAAUUGCGAAGGCAGGUUACUACUAAUAUAUUGACGCUGAUGGACGAAAGCGUGGGUAGCGAACAGGAUUAGAUACCCUGGUAGUCCACGCCGUAAACGAUGGAUACUAGCUGUUGGGUGCAAACUCAGUGGCUAAGCGAAAGUGAUAAGUAUCCCACCUGGGGAGUACGUUCGCAAGAAUGAAACUCAAAGGAAUUGACGGGGGCCCGCACAAGCGGUGGAGCAUGUGGUUUAAUUCGAUGAUACGCGAGGAACCUUACCAAGGCUUAAAUGUAGAUUGACCGGUUUGGAAACAGAUCUUUCGCAAGACAAUUUACAAGGUGCUGCAUGGUUGUCGUCAGCUCGUGCCGUGA